Molecule: ribosomal RNA, 497 nt
Filed under: uncultured bacterium
Lineage: Bacteria
Description: partial 16S ribosomal RNA
Rfam family: Bacterial small subunit ribosomal RNA
Source: RNAcentral
GAUGAACGCUGGCGGCGUGCCUAAUACAUGCAAGUCGAGCGAACGGACGAGAAGCUUGCUUCUCUGAUGUUAGCGGCGGACGGGUGAGUAACACGUGGAUACCCUACCUAUAAGACUGGGAUAACUUCGGGAAACCGGAGCUAAUACCGGAUAAUAUUUUGAACCGCAUGGUUCAAAAGUAAAAGACGGUCUUGCUGUCACUUAUAGAUGGAUCCGCGCUGCAUUAGCUAGUUGGUAAGGUAACGGCUUACCAAGGCAACGAUGCAUAGCCGACCUGAGAGGGUGAUCGGCCACACUGGAACUGAGACACGGUCCAGACUCCUACGGGAGGCAGCAGUAGGGAAUCUUCCGCAAUGGGCGAAAGCCUGACGGAGCAACGCCGCGUGAGUGAUGAAGGUCUUCGGAUCGUAAAACUCUGUUAUUGGGGAAGAACAUAUGUGUAAGUAACUGUGCACAUCUUGACGGUACCUAAUCAGAAAGCCACGGCUAACUACGUG